GACGGACGCUGGCGGCGUGCUUAACACAUGCAAGUCGAACGAUGACGACCGAGCUUGCUCGGUCUGAUUAGUGGCGAACGGGUGAGUAACACGUGAGCAACCUGCCCUUCACUCUGGGAUAACCUCGGGAAAUCGGGGCUAAUACCGGAUAUGAGCUCCUGUCGCAUGGCGGGUGUUGGAAAGUUUUUCGGUGAAGGAUGGACUCGCGGCCUAUCAGUUUGUUGGUGAGGUAGUGGCUCACCAAGGCGAUGACGGGUAGCCGGCCUGAGAGGGCGACCGGCCACACUGGGACUGAGACACGGCCCAGACUCCUACGGGAGGCAGCAGUGGGGAAUAUUGCACAAUGGGCGAAAGCCUGAUGCAGCGACGCCGCGUGAGGGAUGACGGCCUUCGGGUUGUAAACCUCUUUCAGCAGGGAAGAAGCGAAAGUGACGGUACCUGCAGAAGAAGCGCCGGCUAACUACGUG
Molecule: ribosomal RNA, 467 nt
Filed under: uncultured bacterium
Lineage: Bacteria
Description: partial 16S ribosomal RNA
Rfam family: Bacterial small subunit ribosomal RNA
Source: RNAcentral